AUGCUUGCCCAGAUUGUAAACUGUGCAGGAAUUUCUUUACAGCUGAUAAGCGCUGCCCAGGACCCUGUGAAGAAUAUAUGUUUUGUGAAAGUACUGCAGGCUCUCAGAGGUAUCUCUGGGGUGUACAUGAGUGCACACUCCUGGCAGAAGAACGGAGGCAGCAGAGGUGUGAUAAGACUAGGACCAAGAUGGAGAAAAACAAGACCAGAGUUUCAGAGUUCUUCAGGACACCACAUCCUCAUGACCCUGCAGAAGAAACUGGAAAAACACCACUUCAACUUGUAAUUGGAUACAAGAUACUAAUUAGAUAAAGCAUGCAUGUUGAUGGCACAACAUCAGUGUAUUGAAAGACAGCUUCUCCUAGACAACGUGCCUCCUGCAUGUCAAGCUGAUGACUGUCUUUUGGUCAAGAACACAUUCAGCUGGGAGUCCGACCAGUUUCAGCAUGUUACUGGCAGGAGGCACUGCUCGAGUGGGUUCCUGUGUCCAACUCACACCGUGGUGCUGGAGCCCUGAUCUGUACGUACUGCACUGCCACAGUGCCUCUCUCCAUUCUUCUUGUCAGAACUGUCCUGGUCUGGUCUGCAAUUGUGUCUAUUUUCUGUAGCAAAUGACUUUCACCUCUGGCAUAGUUCUGCACGUCUGGGUCAAUAGACUGCACUGCCUUGACAGACAAUGAGGGACCUUUGUCCCGGCCGUGGCAGCACAUGAGAUCUCACUCAGGUGCUGCUUCCCACCCUUGGUGCCCCCACCGUACUGCGUGCUGCUCACUGUGGGGGGAACGCUUUGAGCCCUGCCAUAGGCCCUCAGAAGAGGAACUGCAGAGGUAUAAUGGCAUCUUGUGAUGUGGAAGUGCAUCCUGCGUGCCAGGCAAUGUCAGCGAAGGCACCGUCCCCUUAUCUCUGUUAUGUAACCAACAUCAAAACGGAGGUGAGUUUGUGAACCUGAUGUGGCUGGCUGCAGUUACGGCACUUCCCCAGCACAUGGGCAGAGGCUGCCUGCUGGGAAAAAAUACUGCUUUGGUUUACAAUUGACUUACACUUUAGGGUUCUCUUCCAACUCUGAAGCAGAAACAUGGACAAAGACUUAAAAGGCCAGAGGCUGGUUGAUGGCAAAAAGUGUGGGUCCUGCGGCAAACACCGUAGCCACAGGACGGAGGAACACAUAAGCCUCUUACACGAGCCUGCCACAGAAGGGAAAGUUGCCCAAAGCUUGCUUCAGCAUGAAUGUGGCUUCUCUUCCACAGCAUGUGCCACACCUCUUGGCAAGGUGGAGGUUCAAGAAGGAAAGAUUCCUUUCUCCUGAGGUAACAGGAGUACAACUGGAAUAAAAAAGGUGGCAGGAGGGAGAAUGCCGCGUCU
Molecule: long non-coding RNA, 1361 nt
Filed under: Numida meleagris (helmeted guineafowl)
Lineage: Eukaryota; Metazoa; Chordata; Aves; Galliformes; Numididae
Description: lncRNA (ENSNMEG00000002023.1)
Source: RNAcentral